Punica granatum (pomegranate) is the source of this 1202-nucleotide non-coding RNA. The record is from RefSeq and is a predicted model, not a curated record. NCBI's taxonomy places the organism in Eukaryota, Viridiplantae, Streptophyta, Magnoliopsida, Myrtales, Lythraceae.
CAUAGAUGGUGAAUAAUGCAGCUGAAAUGGUGGGGCUGAGAUGGCUGGAGAGGUUUCCCCAGGCAUCCCAUUUUUUGGGAUCACUGCCACUUCCACUACUUCACUCAUGCUUAUGGGAAUAAGCAGAUGUUCAGGUGACGUUGGAACUUUAAGAAGGCCAAUAGUUGAAAGAAGUGGAGAAAGUACCCUUUGACUGGUCCCACAUUUGGCUGCUAUCAUUUAAGCUUGUUAGUAAACACAUUUUUUUAGCCGCUUUCACGGACAGGUUUUUCCUUACUAAUGCAGAUACUAGUAGGAACAUCAUUUGCCAUUUUUAGUUAUACACAUGACUAGUUAUAGGGAAAUGAGUAUCUUCUGAGGUUUUUGGUUUAUGUUCACGAAUUGAUCAGCAUGACAAAACUUAAUGAUUCUUCCGUAUGAUCAUCAUAGGAGAUAAUUCCGGUUGAACUAAAAAACAAAAGAGAAAAUAUCAAAAUCCAAAAUUGCUUUUGAUCCUCAUUCAAUAUUCAAGGAACCGUGGGGCAGCCCGGCUGACUCCUCCUUCCUUUUGUAUUCCUAUGCACCAGCUUAUGUCAUCCUAGCUGACCUAAUACCCCCACGUGAAAGACGGGCAAGGGCCAUCGACCCCUUUUUUGGCCUUCCUUCGUUUCCUUCUUCCUUAAUCCCCUCUCCACAUUGCUUUUUAUUCAAAGAAUUUCUCCUUCCACUUUGCUUUAGUAGUGCCCCUCCCCUUUAGGAUAUUGUCUUUAUCUUAAUCAGAAGCCCGUCCAUUCAUUGUAUAGUCUAAAAGAAGGAAGCACACCAAAGUAGGUGAACCGACUGAUGAAUUUCAGGGAUAGUUUCCUAGAAACAGAGCCUGUGUGUCUGUUUUCCCAUGGUGUCUGUUUUUCUUUACUUUGUAAUGUCUGCUGGACCAACUUUAGUCAUCUUCAAUCAUCCAUUGCUUGCGUCAUAUAAUAGUUUAGGGGUGUUUAUCAUGGCAGAUAGUGAUGGAACCGAAGUUGCCUGCAAUUAUUAAAGGUGAAGUAAUAUUUUAGACAUUGCAUUAGACGAAAAGUCCGUGUUCUUUUUCGCCUGUAUGUUAGCCCAGUAAUGACCAUUGAUUCACAUUAUUGUGUGUGAAAUUGGAUUCUGUGAAAUGGCACUUGGCGUCGACUCGGAGCCAAGGUUCAAUUUUCAUUAGUGUGACAUGUUUCAAUCUA